This 55-nucleotide transfer RNA is filed under the name Blattisocius keegani. RNAcentral describes it as "tRNA-Ser". The record is from RNAcentral. Lineage: Eukaryota; Metazoa; Arthropoda; Arachnida; Mesostigmata; Blattisociidae.
AAAGAUUAUAAUAAGAAGCUGCUAACUUCUUUAAAAUGUUAUCAUUUAAUCUUUU